RNAcentral lists this ribosomal RNA (881 nucleotides) under uncultured Actinomycetales bacterium. Its description in RNAcentral is "bacterial SSU rRNA". It matches the Rfam family "Bacterial small subunit ribosomal RNA", at positions 28 to 924 of the family's 1533-position model. Lineage: Bacteria; Bacillati; Actinomycetota; Actinomycetes; Actinomycetales. The record is from RNAcentral.
GACGAACGCUGGCGGCGUGCUUUACACAUGCAAGUCGAGCGAUGAGAUCCCUUCGGGGAAGGAUUAGCGGCGAACGGGUGAGGAACACGUGAGGAAUCUGCCUUCAACACUGGGAUAACUCCGGGAAACCGGGGCUAAUACCGGAUACGAGACCUGCAGGCAUCUGCGGGUCUGGAAAGUUUUUCGGUUGAAGAUGACCUCGCGGCCUAUCAGCUUGUUGGUGAGGUAAUGGCUCACCAAGGCGACGACGGGUAGCCGGCCUGAGAGGGCGACCGGCCACACUGGGACUGAGACACGGCCCAGACUCCUACGGGAGGCAGCAGUGGGGAAUAUUGGGCAAUGGAGGGAACUCUGACCCAGCGACGCCGCGUGCGGGAUGAAGGCCUUCGGGUUGUAAACCGCUUUCAGCAAGGAAGAAGCGAAAGUGACGGUACUUGCAGAAGAAGCACCGGCUAACUAUGUGCCAGCAGCCGCGGUAAUACAUAGGGUGCAAGCGUUGUCCGGAAUUAUUGGGCGUAAAGAGCUCGUAGGUGGUUCGUCACGUCGGAUGUGAAAAUCUGGGGCUUAACCCCAGACCUGCAUUCGAUACGGGCGAGCUAGAGUGUGGUAGGGGAGACUGGAAUUCCUGGUGUAGCGGUGGAAUGCGCAGAUAUCAGGAGGAACACCAAUGGCGAAGGCAGGUCUCUGGGCCAUUACUGACACUGAGGAGCGAAAGCGUGGGGAGCGAACAGGAUUAGAUACCCUGGUAGUCCACGCCGUAAACGGUGGGCACUAGUUGUGGGAACCUUCCACGGUUUCUGCGACGCAGCUAACGCAUUAAGUGCCCCGCCUGGGGAGUACGAUCGCAAGAUUAAAACUCAAAGGAAUUGACGGGGCCCCGC